UGGACCAGUGAUGAUGACUGAUGGCAUAUGAGUCAAAUACAACGAAUACUACGUGCCUGGAACUCUGAGGUCCAA
Small nucleolar RNA from Manis pentadactyla (Chinese pangolin), 75 nucleotides. RefSeq annotates it as small nucleolar RNA SNORD113/SNORD114 family. The transcript has a single exon. NCBI's taxonomy places the organism in Eukaryota, Metazoa, Chordata, Mammalia, Pholidota, Manidae. The record is from RefSeq and is a predicted model, not a curated record.